This 241-nucleotide unclassified non-coding RNA is filed under the name uncultured Ascomycota. Its description in RNAcentral is "sequence contains ITS2". The stretch from base 1 to 52 matches the Rfam family "5.8S ribosomal RNA", at positions 103 to 154 of the family's 154-position model. Lineage: Eukaryota; Fungi; Ascomycota. The record is from RNAcentral.
AACGCACAUUGCGCCCCUUGGUAUUCCGAGGGGCAUGCCUGUUCGAGCGUCAUUACAACCCUCAAGCACUGCUUGGUCUUGGGCUCCGCUGCUAACGCGGCGGGCCUUAAAAUGAGUGGCGGCGCCAUCGGGCUCUGAGCGUAGUAAAUUUCCUCGCUACGGAGUCCUGGUGACGGUGGCCAUCAACCCCCAACUUUCUACGUUUGACCUCGGAUCAGGUAGGGAUACCCGCUGAACUUAA